CAUACAAAAUGAGAAAGCGUCUAGUAAAGCGCUGUCCCAGUCUAAUCGAAUCGGUCCUCUUGUUUUAUUAUAUUUGGAUGGGAACGGAAAUGUUCGAACAGCAGGAAGUCCUGGAUUGCGCGAAGAUGUGUUGGACGUUGCCAG
Molecule: long non-coding RNA, 144 nt
Organism: Xenia sp. Carnegie-2017
Lineage: Eukaryota; Metazoa; Cnidaria; Anthozoa; Malacalcyonacea; Xeniidae
Exons: 3
Source: RefSeq, a predicted model, not a curated record